GGGCGUAAAGAGUCUGUAGGCGUCCUAUUAAAUAUAAUAUCAAAGACCGGAGCCCAACUCCGGGCCGGUAUUGUAGACUGAUAGGAUAGAGUAAUGUAGAGGCAAGUAGAAUUCUGUGUGUAGGGGUUAUAUCCGUAGAUACACAGAGGAAUACCAAAAGCGAAGGCAGCUUGCUGGGCAUUUACUGACGCUAAAGGACGAAAGCGUGGGUAGCGAACAGGAUUAGAUACCCUGGUAGUCCACGCCGUAAACGAUGAUCACUCGUUGUCGGAGGCUUCGACCCCUUCGGUGACUAAGUUAACACUUUAAGUGAUCCGCCUGGGUAGUACGAUCGCAAGAUUAAAACUCAAAGGAAUAGACGGGGACCCACACAAGCGGUGGAGCAUCUGGUUUAAUUCGACAGUAAGCGAAAAACCUCACCAAGGCUUGACAUCCCGAGAAGAUUCCCGAAAGGGAAUUGUGCCGUUAGGAACUCGGUGACAGGCGCUGCAUGGUUGUCGUCAGCUCGUGCCUUGAGGUGUUCGGUUAAGUCCGUGAACGAGCGCAACCCUUGUCCUUAGUUGCAUAUUUCUAAGGAGACUGCCGGCUUUAAGUCGGAGGAAGGUAAGGAUGACGUCAAAUCAGCAUGGCCCUUAUGCCUUGGGCCACACAGGUGCUACAAUGGCUGGUACAAAAGGAAGCGAAAGAGCAAUCUGGAGCCAAUCCCCAAAGCCAGUCUUAGUUCGGAUUGAGGGCUGAAAUUCGCCCUCAUGAAGCUGGAAUCGCUAGUAACCGUGAAUCAG
This 782-nucleotide ribosomal RNA is filed under the name uncultured bacterium. RNAcentral describes it as "bacterial SSU rRNA". It matches the Rfam family "Bacterial small subunit ribosomal RNA", at positions 556 to 1352 of the family's 1533-position model. The record is from RNAcentral.